This 302-nucleotide ribosomal RNA is filed under the name uncultured bacterium. RNAcentral describes it as "partial 16S ribosomal RNA". It matches the Rfam family "Bacterial small subunit ribosomal RNA", at positions 508 to 807 of the family's 1533-position model. The record is from RNAcentral.
GCAGCAGCCGCGGGAAUACGUAGGUGGCAAGCGUUGUCCGGAAUUAUUGGGCGUAAAGGGCUCGCAGGCGGUUUCUUAAGUCUGAUGUGAAAGCCCCCGGCUCAACCGGGGAGGGUCAUUGGAAACUGGGAAACUUGAGUGCAGAAGAGGAGAGUGGAAUUCCACGUGUAGCGGUGAAAUGCGUAGAGAUGUGGAGGAACGCCAGUGGCGAAGGCGACUCUCUGGUCUGUAACUGACGCUGAGGAGCGAAAGCGUGGGGAGCGAACAGGAUUAGAUACCCGCGUAGUCCCUGUCUCUUAUAC